Molecule: ribosomal RNA, 1093 nt
Filed under: Triticum aestivum (bread wheat)
Lineage: Eukaryota; Viridiplantae; Streptophyta; Magnoliopsida; Poales; Poaceae
Description: partial small subunit ribosomal RNA
Source: RNAcentral
GGCGGCACGGCGAAUGGCGGGCACUGUGCCUACGAGCAUGCCACAGGCAGAGACGUCGGUUGCGUGCAGAGGACAGCAGAGCAGGAGCAGAAGGAAGGAGGAGGAGGGGUUAGCCGUUGGCGCCUAAGGGAGGAGCUAUCUAGGCCGUCCGCGUGUCCGCUGCCGGGGCUCGACGCUGUCUUCCGCGGUACCCCGAGACCCUGAGCGAGGAGUUGACCGAGGCUUCGGACAAGAAAUUCGUCCUCUACCUCGAGAGGGACCAACCGGAUGUCUUACGACCCUUCUGUAGAGAUCAGUUAAGUUAACGAUGGCCACCGAUGUCGCUCCUGUACUAAGGUUGACAUCCGAAAUUAUACGCCUUUCAGUGGUUCCCUUUACAGUGUUAAUUUGAAACCCUAGAACCUCCCGUUGCAUCUAAGGCCUGAUACACCCUCGCGAUGACAGCACCUCAAUGACGAUAAAAUAUGCAACAGCUACGACGACUGGCCCUAUCGCAAGGCUAACGGUUUUCACUUAACGUACUGGACGACUGUUUUGUCAGAAAUAGACCCUAGGGGAAUGAAUAGGAACCGUUGUUUUAACUGUUCAGUCUCCGUGAAAGAUUCGGCCGUAAUCAACUAGUUGAUCCGGACCUUAGAUAUUUCCUGGCGCUUCAAACGACGAUGUACUAGAGAACGUUCCUGAGCCACUUGUAUCUACAACAGUAACUAACCGAGUAGUUCGUAAGGUUCUGACGUUUAAUCCCAGCGACACACAAAAACGGGGAAGUGAACACGGCUCUACUUAAAUCAAACGUGUAGAAGCAAGAGUACUAGACCUUCCCCUUCUAGUACGCACAGUAAGAAUAAAGAAACCGGAUCAAGAAACGGCAACUCAAGAGGAAUCAUUCGGAAAGGGAUAAAAUCACAAAUAAACUGGAUGAAACACGAAUUAAAAAGGGUCAUCUUAUACUUAUUCGUGUUGUGUCGUAUCAAGUCGUUGUCGUUUCAUUCGUGUUGUGUUGUAUCAAAUCGUUGGCCUUUGUAGUUUUAGGACAGCACAACAAAAGAGGCAGAUUUUAGCUAUCUGGAAAUAACGACUUCGGGGGGACGUU